GGAGGGGUGGCCGAGUGGUUAAAGGCGUCAGACUGUAAAUCUGAUCUCGUUAGGGUACGUUGGUUCGAAUCCAACCCCCUCCACCA
Molecule: transfer RNA, 86 nt
Filed under: Hyphomicrobiales bacterium
Lineage: Bacteria; Pseudomonadati; Pseudomonadota; Alphaproteobacteria; Hyphomicrobiales
Description: tRNA-Tyr
Rfam family: tRNA
About the family: Transfer RNA (tRNA) molecules are approximately 80 nucleotides in length. Their secondary structure includes four short double-helical elements and three loops (D, anti-codon, and T loops).
Source: RNAcentral